RNAcentral lists this long non-coding RNA (531 nucleotides) under Nicotiana benthamiana. RNAcentral describes it as "long non-coding RNA (NBEN_LNC033313)". The record is from RNAcentral. Lineage: Eukaryota; Viridiplantae; Streptophyta; Magnoliopsida; Solanales; Solanaceae.
CCUCCUGACCCGUAGUUACAUCUCCGGGUACCGAGCCUCUAAGGAUGAUAUCACUGUGUAUUCAUAUCUAGCAUCAGCUGAAUAUGUGAAUGCAUCUAGGUGGUAUAAGCACAUCGAUGCACUUUUAAGAAUCUCUGGUGUAUCUGGCGAAGGUGCCGGUGUCACUGUAGAGGGAUCUGUACCAAUCACCGAGGAGGCAGUGGCAACUCCUCCUGCUGCUGACACUAAAGCCUCAGCUGCUGAAGAAGAAGAAGAUGAUGAUGACGUAGACCUAUUUGAUGAGGAAACUGAAGAGGAGAAGAAGGCUGCUGAAGAACCUGCAGCAGCAGUUAAGGCUUCAGGGAAGAGGUAGACCUAUUUGGUGAGGAAACUGAAGAGGAGAAGAAGGCUGCUGAAGAACGUGCAGCAGCAGUUAAGGCUUCAGGGAAGAAGAAAGAAUCUGGCAAGUCCUCAGUUCUCUUGGAUGUCAAGCCAUGGGAUGAUGAGACUGAUAUGAAGAAGCUUGAAGAAGCUGUUCGAAGUGUUCAGAUG